RNAcentral lists this ribosomal RNA (301 nucleotides) under uncultured bacterium. RNAcentral describes it as "partial 16S ribosomal RNA". It matches the Rfam family "Bacterial small subunit ribosomal RNA", at positions 509 to 809 of the family's 1533-position model. The record is from RNAcentral.
CAGCCGCCGCGGUAAUACGAAGGGGGCUAGCGUUGUUCGGAUUUACUGGGCGUAAAGGGUGCGUAGGCGGACUGAUAAGUCAGGGGUGAAAUCCCAAGGCUCAACCUUGGAACUGCCUUUGAUACUGUUAGUCUUGAGUUCGAGAGAGGUGAGUGGAACUGCGAGUGUAGAGGUGAAAUUCGUAGAUAUUCGCAAGAACACCAGUGGCGAAGGCGGCUCACUGGCUCGAAACUGACGCUGAGGCACGAAAGCGUGGGGAGCAAACAGGAUUAGAUACCCCAGUAGUCCCUGUCUCUUAUAA